UGGGGAAUAUUGCACAAUGGGCGCAAGCCUGAUGCAGCCAUGCCGCGUGUGUGAAGAAGGCCUUCGGGUUGUAAAGCACUUUCAGCGAGGAGGAAGGUGGUGAGCUUAAUACGCUCAUCAAUUGACGUUACUCGCAGAAGAAGCACCGGCUAACUCCGUGCCAGCAGCCGCGGUAAUACGGAGGGUGCAAGCGUUAAUCGGAAUUACUGGGCGUAAAGCGCACGCAGGCGGUUUGUUAAGUCAGAUGUGAAAUCCCCGGGCUCAACCUGGGAACUGCAUUUGAAACUGGCAAGCUAGAGUCUCGUAGAGGGGGGUAGAAUUCCAGGUGUAGCGGUGAAAUGCGUAGAGAUCUGGAGGAAUACCGGUGGCGAAGGCGGCCCCCUGGACGAAGACUGACGUCGGUGCGAAAAGGCGUGGGGGCAGCAAACAGGAUUAGAUACCCUGGUAGUCCACGCUGUAAACGAUGUCGAUUUUGGAGGUUGUGCCCUUGAGGCGUGGCUUCCGGAGCUAACGCGUUAAAUCGACCGCCUGGGGAGUACGGCCGCAAGGUUAAAACUCAAAUGAAUUGACGGGGUCAU
RNAcentral lists this ribosomal RNA (578 nucleotides) under uncultured bacterium. RNAcentral describes it as "partial 16S ribosomal RNA". It matches the Rfam family "Bacterial small subunit ribosomal RNA", at positions 355 to 922 of the family's 1533-position model. The record is from RNAcentral.